UACGAAGGGGGCUAGCGUUGCUCGGAAUCACUGGGCGUAAAGGGCGCGUAGGCGGACAUUUAAGUCAGGGGUGAAAUCCCGGGGCUCAACCUCGGAAUUGCCUUUGAUACUGGGUGUCUUGAGACCGGAAGAGGUAAGUGGAACUGCGAGUGUAGAGGUGAAAUUCGUAGAUAUUCGCAAGAACACCAGUGGCGAAGGCGGCUUACUGGUCCGGUUCUGACGCUGAGGCGCGAAAGCGUGGGGAGCAAACAGG
This 253-nucleotide ribosomal RNA is filed under the name uncultured bacterium. Its description in RNAcentral is "partial 16S ribosomal RNA". It matches the Rfam family "Bacterial small subunit ribosomal RNA", at positions 524 to 776 of the family's 1533-position model. The record is from RNAcentral.